Molecule: ribosomal RNA, 1222 nt
Filed under: Escherichia coli
Lineage: Bacteria; Pseudomonadati; Pseudomonadota; Gammaproteobacteria; Enterobacterales; Enterobacteriaceae
Description: partial 23S ribosomal RNA
Rfam family: Bacterial large subunit ribosomal RNA
Source: RNAcentral
GGGUUGUGAGGUUAAGCGACUAAGCGUACACGGUGGAUGCCCUGGCAGUCAGAGGCGAUGAAGGACGUGCUAAUCUGCGAUAAGCGUCGGUAAGGUGAUAUGAACCGUUAUAACCGGCGAUUUCCGAAUGGGGAAACCCAGUGUGUUUCGACACACUAUCAUUAACUGAAUCCAUAGGUUAAUGAGGCGAACCGGGGGAACUGAAACAUCUAAGUACCCCGAGGAAAAGAAAUCAACCGAGAUUCCCCCAGUAGCGGCGAGCGAACGGGGAGGAGCCCAGAGCCUGAAUCAGUGUGUGUGUUAGUGGAAGCGUCUGGAAAGGCGCGCGAUACAGGGUGACAGCCCCGUACACAAAAAUGCACAUGCUGUGAGCUCGAUGAGUAGGGCGGGACACGUGGUAUCCUGUCUGAAUAUGGGGGGACCAUCCUCCAAGGCUAAAUACUCCUGACUGACCGAUAGUGAACCAGUACCGUGAGGGAAAGGCGAAAAGAACCCCGGCGAGGGGAGUGAAAAAGAACCUGAAACCGUGUACGUACAAGCAGUGGGAGCAUGCUUAGGCGUGUGACUGCGUACCUUUUGUAUAAUGGGUCAGCGACUUAUAUUCUGUAGCAAGGUUAACCGAAUAGGGGAGCCGAAGGGAAACCGAGUCUUAACUGGGCGUUAAGUUGCAGGGUAUAGACCCGAAACCCGGUGAUCUAGCCAUGGGCAGGUUGAAGGUUGGGUAACACUAACUGGAGGACCGAACCGACUAAUGUUGAAAAAUUAGCGGAUGACUUGUGGCUGGGGGUGAAAGGCCAAUCAAACCGGGAGAUAGCUGGUUCUCCCCGAAAGCUAUUUAGGUAGCGCCUCGUGAACUCAUCUCCGGGGGUAGAGCACUGUUUCGGCAAGGGGGUCAUCCCGACUUACCAACCCGAUGCAAACUGCGAAUACCGGAGAAUGUUAUCACGGGAGACACACGGCGGGUGCUAACGUCCGUCGUGAAGAGGGAAACAACCCAGACCGCCAGCUAAGGUCCCAAAGUCAUGGUUAAGUGGGAAACGAUGUGGGAAGGCCCAGACAGCCAGGAUGUUGGCUUAGAAGCAGCCAUCAUUUAAAGAAAGCGUAAUAGCUCACUGGUCGAGUCGGCCUGCGCGGAAGAUGUAACGGGGCUAAACCAUGCACCGAAGCUGCGGCAGCGACGCUUAUGCGUUGUUGGGUAGGGGAGCGUUCUGUAAGCCUGUGA